This 647-nucleotide long non-coding RNA is filed under the name Rattus norvegicus (Norway rat). RNAcentral's name for it is "long non-coding RNA NONRATT005298". Lineage: Eukaryota; Metazoa; Chordata; Mammalia; Rodentia; Muridae. The record is from RNAcentral.
GGCGGGACGGCGCACCAUGUACACUCUCACCAAGGGGCCCAGCAAGCUGGUCGCGCAGCGCCGCACAGGUGCCACACAGCAGCAGGUGGAGAGCAGGCUUGGCGAGCUCCUGAAAUGCCGGCAGCCGGUGCCGCCGACCGCGCUACCCACGCGCGAGCAGCCCUCUGCACAGCCUCAGGGACCCUGGCCCCUUGCAAGUCCGGGGCCAAGGCUUGUGUUCAAUCGAGUGAAUGGCCGGAGGCCCCUCACCACCUUGUGGCUUGGCUGGGUACCGGCCACACCUGAAGUGCCAACAUUUGGACUUUUGCACCUGUUGUUCCCUUGGCUUGGCUGUCCCAAGAUGCCAGAGUCAGGGGUCACCACAAUUGACAAGACACCAAAGUCAGACCCCAAGACCCAGGCAGUACUGGCUAGGGGUGUAGGAAUGAGUUUGCUUUCUCUGCCAAUUAAAGAAUUAAAAGGCAGACAUUGGGCUGGAGAGAUUGUUCAGCAGUUAAGAGCACUGACUGCUCUUCCAGAGGCCCUGAGUUCAAUUCCCAGCAACCACAUGGUGGCUCACAACCAUCUGUAAUGGGAUCUGAUGCCCUCUUCUGGUGUGUAUGAAAACAGCUACAGUGUACACAUAUAAAAAAAAUAAAUCUUUUUUU